ACCUGGGUGGCUCAGCUGGUUGAGCAUCUGAUUUUGGCUCAGAUUGUGAUCCCAGGGUU
Molecule: transfer RNA, 59 nt
Filed under: Felis catus (domestic cat)
Lineage: Eukaryota; Metazoa; Chordata; Mammalia; Carnivora; Felidae
Source: Rfam by way of RNAcentral